This 2735-nucleotide long non-coding RNA is filed under the name Taeniopygia guttata (zebra finch). Its description in RNAcentral is "lncRNA (ENSTGUG00000024763.1)". Lineage: Eukaryota; Metazoa; Chordata; Aves; Passeriformes; Estrildidae. The record is from RNAcentral.
CAAGUAGAAGCAUGGCAAAAAGGAUUAGGAAAUGUUUAAUUACCCCAAGUUGAUGUGGAUUUUCAUACCACUGUUUCUGUCACAGCUGCUAAGCUCAAUACUUCUCUGACCUGCAUCCCAAGGGCAGCCUUUCAUAUACCCAUAAUGGUCAUCUGGCUUGAAAUAGUAUCUGGCACUUGGUGUUCUCAGACCAGCCCUAGUUACUCAUUUCCCAUGCAUCAAUUCAGGAAUCACACACGCAUAGCACUCUUGCCUUCAAGGAGAGUACUUUAAGUUCCCAUUACUUUGUUUCAUUGUUUCUUUUUCCUUUUUAUGAACAUCACAAUUCUUGUUACCAGAUGACCUAAGUUCUCAGUCCUGGCAAAAGAGAGUUUGCAACAUUUCAAAGUGGUAAUCUCCACUAUGACUAUUUUGCCUCUUGUACUGCAGUACCAUAUUUUUCGUUAAUGCUGCUUUCUUCUUCACAUAUGUUCUUGAAACUCCAACAACCUAGAUCACUACGGUGUGAAUUCAGAUCAGUUAGCCUGGACAAUUGAGCCUGCUGUGGAAGAGUCAGCAUGGCACCUGCAAAGGGAAAUCCUGCCUCCCAGACCUCCUGGGUUGUAAGAAGGUGAUACUGAGCACACAGGGAAAAUCCACUUGACUCCUAGUAAAUUUUUUUACCACCACUGAGUAACUUAUUUUAAAAAAGAUGGUUUGUGGCAGAGCUGAAAUUGUUGCAACAGACCAAUACAGUGCUUUGAUGCUUUAUUUGAACAGCACAUGGCCUUUAUUUUUAUGAUGCUUUGAUGCUUUAUUUGAACAGCAGUACAAAGGCUCAACCUCAGCUCAUUCCUGGGACACGGUUGUUGGUAUGGCUGUGUUGCUUUCAUUUCAGUUGCAAAGCAAGAGGAGGCACAUGGGAUUUGCAUGGCACCAUCUUGUCAUGGCUGCAUUUCUGGGCAAACUGGUGAAGAGAUGGCUUGUUCAGGCCUCCCCUCAGAUGCAAUACUAUGUGCAGAGUGGACUCCUGACAGUUUGUGGUCUAGAAAAGCAUUUCCAUUCUUCACUACUCACCAGCAGGGAUCAGGUGCGGUGGAUUAGGAGAAUCAAUUUCUUUCUGGCUCUUAGUAUUCCUGGUCUCAGUGAUAUCCCCAAGUUUUCCCUCAAGGGUUACUGUAGAUCUGAUGGAAUUUUUGCAAAGAUCCAAAUGUCAGCACAGCAGGGUCAACCUCCCGAGUGUAUCUUGCUGCUGCAAGGGAGCUUCACACCUGCAUAGCAAAGAAUAAGGACAUUUAGAGAGCGUUUUUUUAAUAAUUUUAAACAGCCCGAACAUCUGUCCUGUGUUGUUAAAGUCAUGACUAGCUGGUUCUCUGAGUAGCUCCUGCUGAAACACAGACUUCAUUUCGGUGUUUAGUUCUGUCCUAAAAAUGAGGUUGAUUCACAGGACUAAAACUGGGUGUAGGUUGAUACACGGUGAAUUUGAGACAGUGGGAUCAGACAGACUAUGACUUCUAAGGGGGAAAUACCCAAAUUAUCCUGAGGUAAUCAGGAUCCAAGCCCAUCUCCGAUUCCCCUUUUAUCAAAAUUGCCAUUCUCAUCUGUGAAGAAAAUAAUAUGGAAAAAACCCAACUACAUUUCUAAUAAGAAACAGAUUAACAUAGGAAUAUAUUUCUAAGGCGGAACCAUCAGCUGUGAUGACUCUUGCCUUUAUUAUAUGUCCCUGUUCUAGGAAUAUUAGAAGCACCAGCUUCAUCAGACUGCACUGUGCUUCAUAUUACCAAAAUAAGUUAAUAUUUUCCCCUGGAGCUUACCAAACAUUCAUAUGGGCCCCUAUGUCAGAGAAGAGACUGUUUAAUGCUCUAACACGGGGCUAUGAAAGUGGAAAAGGAGAGUUCAAGAUUAUCCCAAUCCUCAGUGCUGAUGAGUUUGUCCCCUCAUCAAACGUAGAAUACAAUGGUUAGCCAAAGCUGCCCAGGCUGAAGGUACUCCAAAACGGGCAAUAAAAUGGUUGAAUGGAGGAAAUCCUCUAGCACAAGGGGAUUUGGGCCUCAAAAUCAAAAUAGUAGUGAGGAAUGAUACAAACCCAUCUUCACAGAGAAAUCUGGAGAAUCCCUUUUUCCAUGGGUUAAUCUUUGAGCAGAUGCCUUCUGUUCAGGGGCUGUGCUCUGCGCUGCAGUGCCACCAUGCCUGACAUUUGGGUUUUGUCACUCUGUGUAGGUAAAACUGAGACUGUCCUUUUGCUCAUUUCUUUUUACAUAACUUGCACUAGUUCAGUCACUCAUCCUGUAUUUCGAUUAAUGGCAUGAAACCCCUAAUCGCCCAAUUAGAAUGUGUAAUGAUACUGUAAAAAUCCCUAUUAAACUGAGCAGAGGAAUAUUUUAAAAAGCUUGUAAUAGUAGUCACUAGGCGUGAUAGUAGAAGAGGGAGGAUAGAUACACGAGAUUUAUUACAUUCAGAUAACAUGGUACUUUCCAAAUUGAGCUUCAAAGGACUGUGCUGAGUUUAUUAAUGUAAUUACUUAUAUGAAAAAUUAUCAGACUAUAAUGAAUAAAUUAAAAAUGUUAUCUAUAUAGUAUGUUAUCUGUGUAGUUUUUCAGACUGGAAUUAAAAAGAACACAAAGAAUUACAGGAAUUUAGGCUCUUGUUUUCAUAUUAACAUGGCAUUUAAAAUGCUUCUAGAUCCUUUGUUAAAUUGUAUUAUAAAUCAGAUUUAAACAGGAAGAUAGAAAUAUUUUUGCUUUCAUUUGGAAGAG